GACCACGUAGCUUGGGAGGAAGAGCGCCAACGCUUCAUAAUUGUGAUUCAUCUUGCAAGGCGGUGAUGCAAGUUCGACUCUUGCCAUGGUCA
Molecule: non-coding RNA, 92 nt
Organism: Tephrocybe rancida
Lineage: Eukaryota; Fungi; Basidiomycota; Agaricomycetes; Agaricales; Lyophyllaceae
Source: the annotation of a GenBank genome assembly